This 252-nucleotide ribosomal RNA is filed under the name uncultured bacterium. RNAcentral's name for it is "partial 16S ribosomal RNA". It matches the Rfam family "Bacterial small subunit ribosomal RNA", at positions 524 to 776 of the family's 1533-position model. The record is from RNAcentral.
UACGGGGGGGCAAGCGUUGUUCGGAAUUACUGGGCGUAAAGGGCUCGUAGGCGGCCAACUAAGUCGGAUGUGAAAUCCCCAGGCUUAACCUGGGAACUGCAUCCGAUACUGGAUGGCUUGAAUCCGGGAGAGGGAUGCAGAAUUCCAGGUGUAGCGGUGAAAUGCGUAGAUAUCUGGAGGAAUACCGGUGGCGAAGGCGGCAUCCUGGACCGGCAUUGACGCUGAGGAGCGAAAGCCAGGGGAGCAAACGGG